AACGAACGCUGGCGGCAUGCCUAACACAUGCCAGUCGAACGAGACCUUCGGGUCUAGUGGCGCACGGGUGCGUAACGCGUGGGAACCUGCCCUUAGGUUCGGAAUAACUCCCCGAAAGGGGUGCUAAUACCGGAUAAUGUCUUCGGACCAAAGAUUUAUCGCCUUUGGAUGGGCCCGCGUUGGAUUAGCUAGUUGGUAGUGUAAAAGCCUACCAAGGCGACGAUCCAUAGCUGGUCUGAGAGGAUGAUCAGCCACACUGGGACUGAGACACGGACCAGACUACUACGGGAGGGAGCAGUGGGGAAUAUUGGAAAAUGGGCGAAAGCAUGAUAAAGCAAGGACGGGUGAGUGAUGAAGGCAUUAGGGUAGUAAAGCUCUUUUAACCGGGAUGAUAAUGACAGUACCGGGAGAAUAAGCACCGGCUAACUCCGUG
Molecule: ribosomal RNA, 433 nt
Filed under: uncultured bacterium
Lineage: Bacteria
Description: partial 16S ribosomal RNA
Rfam family: Bacterial small subunit ribosomal RNA
Source: RNAcentral